RNAcentral lists this long non-coding RNA (322 nucleotides) under Mytilus galloprovincialis (Mediterranean mussel). The record is from RNAcentral. Lineage: Eukaryota; Metazoa; Mollusca; Bivalvia; Mytilida; Mytilidae.
GCUUCGCCUCACUGAAUUACCAAUGUUUCAUAUGGGUUACAAUCUGCCUUAAGGUUAUCACCUUCUCAGCUAUGUGUUAUGUAUAUACUAUCCCAUGGCGCAGGAGGGAGACAGUUUUUAUAAUGUCGGACUUACCCUGAGGCCUCUCGUGCAGAUAAAAAAAUAAAACUGAAUUGAAUUUGCAUCAAUGAUUUUAAAGACGUUGCUCAGCUUCUACAUUUUGGCCUCAGAACUUUUGCAUAAAACGUCAAAAUAAAAGAUACCUCUUUCUGAUAUUGUUUUUUUUCUCCAAAUAACUGUUAUAGUUGUACGUCCCCGAGGG